AGUGAACGCUGGCGGUAGGCCUAACACAUGCAAGUCGAACGGCAGCACAGUAAGAGCUUGCUCUUACGGGUGGCGAGUGGCGGACGGGUGAGGAAUACAUCGGAAUCUACUUUUUCGUGGGGGAUAACGUAGGGAAACUUAAGCUAAUACCGCAUACGACCUUCGGGUUAAAGCAGGGGAUCUUCGGACCUUGCGCGAUUGAAUGAGCCGAUGUCGGAUUAGCUAGUUGGCGGGGUAAAGGCCCACCAAGGCGACGAUCCGUAGCUGGUCUGAGAGGAUGAUCAACCACACUGGAACUGAGACACGGUCCAGACUCCUACGGGAGGCAGCAGUAGGGAAUAUUGGACAAUGGGCGCAAGCCUAAUCCAGCCAUACCGCGUGGGUGAAGAAGGCCUUCGGGUUGUAAAGCCCUUUUGUUGGGAAAGAAAAGCAGCAGGUUAAUACCCCGCUGUUCUGACGGUACCCAAAGAAUAAGCACCGGCUAACUUCGUG
Molecule: ribosomal RNA, 492 nt
Filed under: uncultured bacterium
Lineage: Bacteria
Description: partial 16S ribosomal RNA
Rfam family: Bacterial small subunit ribosomal RNA
Source: RNAcentral